GGCUCUGUGGCGCAAUGGAUAGCGCAUUGGACUUCUAAUUCAAAGGUUGUGGGUUCGAGUCCCACCAGAUUCG
This 73-nucleotide transfer RNA is filed under the name Xenopus tropicalis (tropical clawed frog). RNAcentral's name for it is "tRNA-Arg (TCT) (tRNA-Arg-TCT-33-1, tRNA-Arg-TCT-33-2)". It matches the Rfam family "tRNA". Rfam says of the family: Transfer RNA (tRNA) molecules are approximately 80 nucleotides in length. Lineage: Eukaryota; Metazoa; Chordata; Amphibia; Anura; Pipidae. The record is from RNAcentral.